This 379-nucleotide ribosomal RNA is filed under the name uncultured Roseibacillus sp. RNAcentral describes it as "bacterial SSU rRNA". It matches the Rfam family "Bacterial small subunit ribosomal RNA", at positions 78 to 466 of the family's 1533-position model. Lineage: Bacteria; Pseudomonadati; Verrucomicrobiota; Verrucomicrobiia; Verrucomicrobiales; Verrucomicrobiaceae. The record is from RNAcentral.
UGCUAAUGAAAUUCUUAGUGGCGGACGGGUUAGUAACACGUGAGAAUCCUACCCUUGAGUGGGGAAUAGCCUUUCGAAAGGAAGAUUAAUGCCCCAUAGUCUCUACGGAGUAAAGAUGCCUUCGGGUGUCGCUUAAGGAUGGGCUCGCGGCCUAUCAGCUAGUUGGUGAGGUAAGAGCUCACCAAGGCAACGACGGGUAGCUGGUCUGAGAGGACGAUCAGCAACCCUGGAACUGAGACACGGUCCAGACACCUACGGGUGGCAGCAGUCGAGAAUCAUUCACAAUGGACGAAAGUCUGAUGGUGCAACGCCGCGUGGAGGAUGACGGCCCUAGGGUUGUAAACUCCUGUCAUCAGGGAGUAAGACUUAUUCGUUAAUA